AGGCAUCAAUCCUUUUACAUGUGUGUUGAGUUCCAUCACAAAUUUGCUCCGAGUUUAUACUACCUUGGGCAAAUAUUUCUUCUUAAGAAAUUGAACUAAUGUGUGACAUGAACAAUAAUGAGGGUGAUGUUCAAUCUUAUUUAAAGCAAACUAGCAGAGUGUUGCGAGGGAAUCGCCUUCAGUAAUGCUACACGUACAAACGAUUUACGGGAUUUUACAAAGAGGUUUAGCUUGAUUGGUCAAUAGGUAAGAGAGGUGGCCCACCCCCUGAAAAUCAGAGGGGUAAAGUUUGUGAUUGGUUAGGAGAUAGAAAGAGCCUGUAAAAUCAUGUAUUUGUUUGUAGGUCUAGCAUUUUUGAAUCGCCUUAGUGUGUCUGAAGUGUAUGAGAAGUAAAUAUUUAUGCAAUAU
This 408-nucleotide long non-coding RNA is filed under the name Triticum aestivum (bread wheat). Its description in RNAcentral is "long non-coding RNA (TAES_LNC009443)". Lineage: Eukaryota; Viridiplantae; Streptophyta; Magnoliopsida; Poales; Poaceae. The record is from RNAcentral.